GUCCACGCCGUAAACGAUGGGUACUAGGUGUUGGGGUAUUGACCCCUCCAGUGCCGCAGUUAACGCACUAAGUACCCCGCCUGGGAAGUACGGCCGCAAGGCUAAAACUCAAAGGAAUUGACGGGGGCCCGCACAAGCGGUGGAGCAUGUGGUUUAAUUCGACGCAACGCGAAGAACCUUACCUGGGCUUGACAUCCCGGGAAUCCUCUGGAAACAGGGGGGUGCCCGCAAGGGAACCCGGAGACAGGUGCUGCAUGGCUGUCGU
RNAcentral lists this ribosomal RNA (265 nucleotides) under uncultured bacterium. RNAcentral's name for it is "partial 16S ribosomal RNA". It matches the Rfam family "Bacterial small subunit ribosomal RNA", at positions 793 to 1055 of the family's 1533-position model. The record is from RNAcentral.